This 115-nucleotide ribosomal RNA is filed under the name Sinocyclocheilus anshuiensis. The record is from RNAcentral. Lineage: Eukaryota; Metazoa; Chordata; Actinopteri; Cypriniformes; Cyprinidae.
GCCGGCAGCCAUAUCACCCUGCAGCUCAACACUGGUCACCCACUGAAGCUAAGCAGGGUUGAGCUGGUCAGUACCUGGAUGGGAGACUCCUGGGAAAACUAGGUUACUGCUGGAA